This 484-nucleotide ribosomal RNA is filed under the name uncultured bacterium. Its description in RNAcentral is "partial 16S ribosomal RNA". It matches the Rfam family "Bacterial small subunit ribosomal RNA", at positions 30 to 507 of the family's 1533-position model. The record is from RNAcentral.
AUUGAACGCUGGCGGCAGGCCUAACACAUGCAAGUCGAGCGGAUGAAGGGAGCUUGCUCCUGGAUUCAGCGGCGGACGGGUGAGUAAUGCCUAGGAAUCUGCCUGGUAGUGGGGGAUAACGUCCGGAAACGGGCGCUAAUACCGCAUACGUCCUGAGGGAGAAAGUGGGGGAUCUUCGGACCUCACGCUAUCAGAUGAGCCUAGGUCGGAUUAGCUAGUUGGUGGGGUAAAGGCCUACCAAGGCGACGAUCCGUAACUGGUCUGAGAGGAUGAUCAGUCACACUGGAACUGAGGCACGGUCCAGACUCCUACGGGAGGCAGCAGUGGGGAAUAUUGGACAAUGGGCGAAAGCCUGAUCCAGCCAUGCCGCGUGUGUGAAGAAGGUCUUCGGAUUGUAAAGCACUUUAAGUUGGGAGGAAGGGCAGUAAGUUAAUACCUUGCUGUUUCGACGUUACCAACAGAAUAAGCACCGGCUAACUUCGUG